Molecule: transfer RNA, 81 nt
Filed under: Bacteroidota bacterium
Lineage: Bacteria; Pseudomonadati; Bacteroidota
Description: tRNA-Tyr
Rfam family: tRNA
About the family: Transfer RNA (tRNA) molecules are approximately 80 nucleotides in length.
Source: RNAcentral
GGGGAGUUUCCAGAGUGGCUAAAUGGGACAGACUGUAAAUCUGUUGCUUCGGCUUCGGUGGUUCGAAUCCACCACUCCCCA